AUACCUUUCUCGGCCUUUUGGCUAAGAUCAAGUGUAGUAUCUGUUCUUAUCAGUUUAAUAUCUGAUACGUGGGCCAUGUGCCCACCUCGAUAUUAAAUUAAUUUUUAUGUGGGGGAGGGCUCAUCACAUCAGCUUGCUGAUGGGGUCCUCGCGCGUCGCCCUUGCGUUGCACUACUGCAUCGGCCUGGCGCACCCCUA
Small nuclear RNA from Ananas comosus (pineapple), 198 nucleotides. It matches the Rfam family "U2 spliceosomal RNA". Rfam says of the family: U2 is a small nuclear RNA (snRNA) component of the spliceosome (involved in pre-mRNA splicing). NCBI's taxonomy places the organism in Eukaryota, Viridiplantae, Streptophyta, Magnoliopsida, Poales, Bromeliaceae. The record is from Rfam.